This 465-nucleotide ribosomal RNA is filed under the name uncultured bacterium. RNAcentral describes it as "partial 16S ribosomal RNA". It matches the Rfam family "Bacterial small subunit ribosomal RNA", at positions 338 to 795 of the family's 1533-position model. The record is from RNAcentral.
CCUACGGGUGGCUGCAGUGGGGAAUUUUGCGCAAUGCUCGUAAGAGUGACGCAGCGACGCCGCGUGAAUGACGAAGGCCUUCGGGUCGUACAGUUCUUUCGACAGGGAAGAAAAUGCAUAUAUGUAACUGUGUAUGUAUUGACGGUACCUGUAUAAGCAGCACCGGCUAACUCCGUGCCAGCAGCCGCGGUAAUACGGAAGGGGCGAGCGUUGUUCGGAGUGACUGGGCGUAAAGAGCACGUAGGCGGUGUUGUAAGUCAUUAGUCAAAGCCUAGGGCUCAACUUUAGUAAGGCUAGUGAUACUAUAAUACUAGAGUAUCAGAGAGGAUGGCAGAAUUCCAGGUGUAGCGGUGAAAUGCGUAGAUAUCAGGAGGAAUACCGAUAGCGAAGGCAGAAAUCUGGCUGGAAACUGACGCUGAGGUGCGAAAGCGUGGGUAGCAAACAGGAUGAGAUACCCGAGUAGUC